CUUUUAUUUAAUGCAACUUUUUGAUGCGUUUAAAGCUUUUUCAAACGGCUGCAACAUCUACGGAAACAUUUCAGGACCAUAGACAGCACUUCACAGCUCCAUGAAACGUUAACAGGAACCACAGAACAAUAUAUUAAUCAAUGAGACAAACAUCAAGUGGUUGUGAAAAGAAGUUGCAAAAGUUUCAUAACGCUCAACGUGCUGAGCUGGCAGUUAGCAGCUAACUGCACGUUAGCAUUCCAGGCUAACUAAAUAGCUAAUAACCAGACUUAUCUUUACUAGUAAUGUAAAAACAAAACAAAUUAAAUGAAGGGUUCCUGCGUGUUGGUGGAUUUAACGGCAGUGACGCUGCUUCGCCAGGUGCCAAGGGCCGAGGUCAGAGGUCGCCGGAGUCAUUGAGAGGGUUGGCGAUGACCGACUUGUGAAUGAGCAUGAAGAGCGGCAGGUAGGCCAGGAAGUCCAGCAGGUCCAGGGGGGGGAUGCGCUGCAGCUCCAGCCGCACGGCCGCCUCCUGCUCCAGGUGGAUGCCCCCGGCCUUCAGCUCCAGAAGGAGCUGCUCCGCGCUGAUGGAGCCCCGCUGGGCUCCGGCGUCUCCUUGCUGCUCCUCCAUGAGGAACAGGAACAGUUGCUGCAUAGUGAUGACAAUAUCCAUGGCCGCCACUUUCUGCGCCAGGCUCGCAAUCACAGCAAAGAGCCGGAGGUCCACCAGCCCAUCUGUCACGCUGAAGUCCACCAUCUCUAAGAUCUGGGACGGGCAGAGACAAAAAAAAAAAAAAAAAAGGACACUCAUAAGUAGUCGAGGCGGCGAGCGUGGCCACGGAGAUGACGUCAUCGGCACCGGUUGACAAGGGAAUGGACCGAAAAAGACAAAGAUGUGUCUCCAGCAUCCUGUGGACUCUUAAUCUUAAUAACGAUAAGGCGAGAAACAUUCUUUGGGAAGUCGAGACUAAAGUUUGAGGGUGAGACUCGGUCAGAGCGACUCGGCGUGCGUGUGCCGACCCUGUAGACGUAGAUUUCUUCUUCGUCGGACAGCCGCUCCGCGGGGAUGACGCUCUUGAGCGCGAGCAGAGCCUGAAGGCAGGAUAUGUAGCCGUCAUCAUCAGCGUCCUC
Gasterosteus aculeatus aculeatus (three-spined stickleback) is the source of this 1110-nucleotide long non-coding RNA. Lineage: Eukaryota; Metazoa; Chordata; Actinopteri; Perciformes; Gasterosteidae. The record is from Ensembl.